This 620-nucleotide ribosomal RNA is filed under the name Bacillus sp. 138(2013). RNAcentral's name for it is "bacterial SSU rRNA". It matches the Rfam family "Bacterial small subunit ribosomal RNA", at positions 78 to 683 of the family's 1533-position model. The record is from RNAcentral. Lineage: Bacteria; Bacillati; Bacillota; Bacilli; Caryophanales; Bacillaceae.
GCUUGCUCCCGGAUGUUAGCGGCGGACGGGUGAGUAACACGUGGGUAACCUGCCUGUAAGACUGGGAUAACUCCGGGAAACCGGAGCUAAUACCGGAUAGUUCCUUGAACCGCAUGGUUCAAGGAUGAAAGACGGUUUCGGCUGUCACUUACAGAUGGACCCGCGGCGCAUUAGCUAGUUGGUGGGGUAAUGGCUCACCAAGGCAACGAUGCGUAGCCGACCUGAGAGGGUGAUCGGCCACACUGGGACUGAGACACGGCCCAGACUCCUACGGGAGGCAGCAGUAGGGAAUCUUCCGCAAUGGACGAAAGUCUGACGGAGCAACGCCGCGUGAGUGAUGAAGGUUUUCGGAUCGUAAAGCUCUGUUGUUAGGGAAGAACAAGUGCGAGAGUAACUGCUCGCACCUUGACGGUACCUAACCAGAAAGCCACGGCUAACUACGUGCCAGCAGCCGCGGUAAUACGUAGGUGGCAAGCGUUGUCCGGAAUUAUUGGGCGUAAAGGGCUCGCAGGCGGUUUCUUAAGUCUGAUGUGAAAGCCCCCGGCUCAACCGGGGAGGGUCAUUGGAAACUGGGAAACUUGAGUGCAGAAGAGGAGAGUGGAAUUCCACGUGUAGCGGUG